RNAcentral lists this unclassified non-coding RNA (712 nucleotides) under Hevea brasiliensis (rubber tree). Lineage: Eukaryota; Viridiplantae; Streptophyta; Magnoliopsida; Malpighiales; Euphorbiaceae. The record is from RNAcentral.
GGAGGUUUUUGUCAUUUCCUGCCAAACUAAACCAACAGUAACAACAACAAAGACAGAAAUGAAGCAUAGAAAACAUAUACCAAUGCUAUAGAGAAAACUUAUACAGAUCCAUUCCCCACUCCUAUGACAUUAAAUACAACAAAAAGAGGAAUGGGGAAAUUCAUACAGAAGUAACAGAUAGAUGGUACAUGCCCAGAAGGCACCCGACGACUAUAUCAGCUAUACAUUCCCUUCAACCAAAAUCUUAUAUGCAGAAUAAACUAUGCAGAAGACAACAUCAAAAGAACCAACCCUCAGCGGUGUAAUAGCUGAAGGCGAGGGCAGAAACUGCAGCGCACAUCCUAACUAAACUAAAGAGAAACAAAUCUCCCUCCCCAAACGAAAUCGAAGGGAAAACAUAAAGCCUGCAAAAUCUGACCAAAUCAUCAGGAGGAGACAAAGGUGGUGAAAUCCCCUAAAUGAAAACGGUUUUCAUGCCAAUCCCCUCUCUGCCUUCUACUUAUCAUCAUGUCAUAGCUACAAACUCUUUUACAUUUCUCCCUUCUAAGCUCGUGAGGAGUGAACGCUACAACCAAAACCCAGCUGAAAUAUCACAAGCCUCUUUCAGUUGUAUAUCUUGACUGGCUUUUCGAAUGUGUGACGGUUCUGAUUAAUAUAUGGCCUCUUAGAUGUAUUAUCUGCAUGCUCCAAUCCAAGGUACUGCUCCCAAGCA